AUGUAUAGGGAGUACCAGUACCAGAUCAAUGUGGAGCUAUAUACAGGGAGUACCAGAUCAAUGUGGAGCUAUAUACAGGGAGUACCAGAUCAAUGUGGAGCUAUAUACAGGGAGUACCAGAUCAAUGUGGAGCUAUGUACAGGGAGUACCAGAUCAAUGUGGAGCUAUAUACAGGGAGUACCAGUACCAGAUCAAUGUGGAGCUAUAUACAGGGAGUACCAGUACCAGAUCAAUGUGGAGCUAUAUACAGGGAGUACCAGAUCAAUGUGGAGCUAUAUACAGGGAGUACCAGAUCAAUGUGGAGCUAUAUACAGGGAGUACCAGAUCAAUGUGGAGCUAUAUACAGGGAGUACCAGAUCAAUGUGGAGCUAUAUACAGGGAGUACCAGAUCAAUGUGGAGCUAUGUACAGGGAGUACCAGUACCAGAUCAAUGUGGAGCUAUAUACAGGGAGUACCAGUACCAGAUCAAUGUGGAGCUAUAUACAGGGAGUACCAGAUCAAUGUGGAGCUAUAUACAGGGAGUACCAGAUCAAUGUGGAGCUAUAUACAGGGAGUACCAGUACCAGAUCAAUGUUGAGCUAUAUACAAGGAGUACCAGAUCAAUGUGGAGCUAUAUACAGGGAGUACCAGUACCAGAUCAAUGUGGAGCUAUAUACAGGGAGUACCAGAUCAAUGUGGAGCUAUAUACAGGGAGUACCAGAUCAAUGGGGAGCUAUAUACAGGGAGUACCAGAUCAAUGUGGAGCUAUAUACAGGGAGUACCAGAUCAAUGUGGAGCUAUGUACAGGGAGUACCAGAUCAAUGUGGAGCUAUGUACAGGGAGUACCAGUACCAGAUCAAUGUGGAGCUAUAUACAAGGAGUACCAGAUCAAUGUGGAGCUAUAUACAGGGAGUACCAGAUCAAUGGGGAGCUAUAUACAGGGAGUACCAGAUCAAUGUGGAGCUAUGUACAGGGAGUACCAGUACCAGAUCAAUGUGGAGCUAUAUACAAGGAGUACCAGAUCAAUGUGGAGCUAUAUACAGGGAGUACCAGUACCAGAUCAAUGUGGAGCUAUAUACAAGGAGUACCAGAUCAAUGUGGAGCUAUAUACAGGGAGUACCAGAUCAAUGUGGAGCUAUAUACAGGGAGUACCAGAUCAAUGGGGAGCUAUAUACAGGGAGUACCAGAUCAAUGUGGAGCUAUAUACAGGGAGUACCAGAUCAAUGUGGAGCUAUGUACAGGGAGUACCAGAUCAAUGUGGAGCUAUGUACAGGGAGUACCAGUACCAGAUCAAUGUGGAGCGAUAUACAGGGAGUACCAGAUCAAUGUGGAGCUAUAUACAGGGAGUACCAGAUCAAUGUGGAGCUAUAUACAGGGAGUACCAGAUCAAUGUGGAGCUAUAUACAGGGAGUACCAGAUCAAUGUGGAGCUAUGUACAGGGAGUACCAGUACCAGAUCAAUGUGGAGCUAUAUACAGGGAGAACCAGAUCAAUGUGGAGCUAUAUACAGGGAGUACCAGUAUCAGAUCAAUAUGGAGCUAUAUAUAGGGAGUACCAGAUCAAUGUGGAGCUAUAUACAGGGAAUACCAGAUCAAUGUGGAGCUAUAUACAGGGAGUACCAGAUCAAUGUGGAGCUAUGUACAGGGAGUACCAGUACCAGAUCAAUGUGGAGCUAUAUACAGUGCCUUGCGAAAGUAUUCGGCCCCCUUGA
Oncorhynchus mykiss (rainbow trout) is the source of this 1689-nucleotide long non-coding RNA. Lineage: Eukaryota; Metazoa; Chordata; Actinopteri; Salmoniformes; Salmonidae. The record is from Ensembl.